This 292-nucleotide ribosomal RNA is filed under the name uncultured microorganism. Its description in RNAcentral is "partial 16S ribosomal RNA". It matches the Rfam family "Bacterial small subunit ribosomal RNA", at positions 505 to 796 of the family's 1533-position model. The record is from RNAcentral.
GUGCCAGCAGCCGCGGUAAUACGUAGGUGGCAAGCGUUGUCCGGAAUUAUUGGGCGUAAAGCGCGCGCAGGCGGUCCCUUAAGUCUGAUGUGAAAGCCCACGGCUCAACCGUGGAGGGUCAUUGGAAACUGGGGGACUUGAGUGCAGAAGAGGAAAGUGGAAUUCCAUGUGUAGCGGUGAAAUGCGUAGAGAUGUGGAGGAACACCAGUGGCGAAGGCGACUUUCUGGUCUGUAACUGACGCUGAGGCGCGAAAGCGUGGGGAGCAAACAGGAUUAGAUACCCUGGUAGUCC